RNAcentral lists this transfer RNA (74 nucleotides) under Sitta villosa. RNAcentral describes it as "tRNA-Asn". The record is from RNAcentral. Lineage: Eukaryota; Metazoa; Chordata; Aves; Passeriformes; Sittidae.
UAGGCAGAAGCCAGGUGGAUUUGGGCAUGUAGCUGUUAACUACAUUGUUAUGGGAUCAAAGCCCAUCUGUCUAG